AAUAGGCUUAAAAAAUAAAACCAAGGACCAAUGAUUUAAGUGAGGGACUCCAGAGGCCACAGAUGACAGUCAAAACGAAGUGAAAUUGACAUUCGUUGUUGAUUUUCACGUCAUAAAAUUAUAAUUUAAAUAUUAAUUUAUAAUACUAUUUUAUACAAUUUAGUCAGUAUUGUAAAAGUGCCUAAAAACUACUUAAAGAUGGUGUCUUCUUGCAAACCUGUAAAUAUUCCUGGAUGAGAGGAAUGAUGACAGUCAAAAGAAGGAGAAGCCAGCUGUCAUUCUGUGAACAGCCCUCUGAAGAAGCCCGAG
This 309-nucleotide long non-coding RNA is filed under the name Homo sapiens (human). RNAcentral describes it as "HSALNT0046842". The record is from RNAcentral. Lineage: Eukaryota; Metazoa; Chordata; Mammalia; Primates; Hominidae.